GGCGGAGUAUGGUCGCAAGGCUGAAACUUAGAGGAAUUGACGUAAGGGCACCACCAGGAGUAGUGCCUGUGGCUUAAUUUGACUCAACAUGGGGAAACUUACCAGGUCCAAACUUAGUAAUUCUUAGUUGGUGGAGUGAUUUGUCUGAUUAAUUCUGUUAACAAAUGAUACCUCAGCCUGCUAACAAGAUAUGCGGAGAUAUCCCUUUACGGCCAGCUUCUUAGAGGGACUACGACCUUUUAGGCCACAGAAGUUUGAGGCAAUAAUAGGUUUAUGAUGCCCUUAGCCUUUCUGGGUCGUACGUGCGCUACACUGAUGUAUUCAAUGAGUUUAUAACCUUAGUCGACAGGCUUAGGUAAUCUUGUAAAUUUUAUUGUGAUGGGGUUAGAUCAUUGCAAUUGUUGUUAUUCAACGAGAAAUUCCUAGUAAGUGUGAGUUAUCCGUUGCCUUGACUGCAUCCCUGUUCUUUGUACACACCACCCGUCACUCCUUCCGAUUGAAUAAUCCAGCAAAAUAUUCAGAUCGCAACAACAUGGGUGGUUCACUGCACCUUAUCAUUUAGAGGAAGGAUAAGUCCUAAUAAGGUUUCCAUAGGUGAACCUGCGGAAG
Molecule: non-coding RNA, 609 nt
Filed under: Capsicum annuum
Lineage: Eukaryota; Viridiplantae; Streptophyta; Magnoliopsida; Solanales; Solanaceae
Description: Eukaryotic small subunit ribosomal RNA
Rfam family: Eukaryotic small subunit ribosomal RNA
Source: Rfam by way of RNAcentral